GCAACUCGCCUACAUGAAGUCGGAAUUGCUAGUAAUCGCGGAUCAGCAUGCCGCGGUGAAUACGUUCCCGGGCCUUGUACACACCGCCCGUCACACCAUGGGAGUCGGAAAUGCCCGAAGUCUGUGACCCAACCGUAAGGAGGGAGCAGCCGAAGGCAGGUCGGAUGACUGGGGUGAAGUCGUAACAAGGUACC
Molecule: ribosomal RNA, 194 nt
Filed under: uncultured bacterium
Lineage: Bacteria
Description: partial 16S ribosomal RNA
Rfam family: Bacterial small subunit ribosomal RNA
Source: RNAcentral